Gymnodraco acuticeps is the source of this 1405-nucleotide long non-coding RNA. RefSeq lists it as uncharacterized. The transcript has 5 exons. NCBI's taxonomy places the organism in Eukaryota, Metazoa, Chordata, Actinopteri, Perciformes, Bathydraconidae. The record is from RefSeq and is a predicted model, not a curated record.
CUGGUGUGUGUUGUCGCAGGAGGAGGUCGCAGCGUGGCGCAGCCGCGACGUAACGCGGCGCAGACGCUCCUGGUGUGUUUUGGGGGUUAGACGACGGGGAAAGCGUAGUGGCGCGCUUGCCCAUCAAAAAGCACACCUGACGGCUUCUUCCGUGACUUAUCCACGCAUCAGAUGUCAUGGCCCUCCCGCUGCACGCCAUCCGAGGGUUCGGUGGAUUCACCCUGUCUUUCCGGAGCUGCGGCCUCUGCUGGGCCCGCUGGCAGCUCCUCCUGCCCGACUGACUACUCCCGGUCCGCGCGGCGUUCAACACGCACAUCUUCGUCAGCUGAGACGCACUACACCUUCGGCCAGCCCUGAGAGAAAACUCUGCAUGGCUUUGCUAAAUGCUAGGUCAAUAGCAAACAAGACGUUCCUGUUAAACGACUUCUUCACCUCUCAUGAUCUGGAUUUAAUGUUCCUGACGGAGACCUGGGUCCACACCGGCGAGUUUGUCCAAGAAACUUCUGAAACUUACACAGAACAAGGACUGUGACACGAUGUUGAAGAGGUGGCUGCGCAGCAUAAAAAACCAUGUCUACUGGAGUGCAACGAGCACAACCUCAGGGCCGGAGAAGGUGACAAGGUGGACGUCACUGGUCAACCACCUACAAAACGUUCACGUGCAUGAUGACCCCCUGUUCCCCAAGUGCACACAUCCUGUAGGAGCCGCAAGCGAUGCAAAUAAACCUUACCUAAAAGGUGGCUCAAUAACACUCGCCAGAGUUGAAACGAUACUCACCAACAAGAGAGUUCUCAAAGAUGUGCUAAAGCUAAGCCAUCACUACCAGACUUCAUCCCUGGAGUCCUUCCACAACUUAAUUCUGCGUUUUACCCCAAAAAAUGUGGUUUUCCCCUUCAUUGGAAUGUUGUGCAGGUUGUGUCUAGCAGCAAUGCAUCACAACGAGAAUGCUGGGUGUGACCAAGCGACAACUGCUGCAGGAAAACUUCAAAUUGGCUUAUCCAAAAUCAAAGAGGGGAGAGUGUACGGUCAAGCCUGUUAAGAACGACCCUACAUACAUCUAUGUGGAUGAGCUGACGAGGCUUGUGUUUCACACAGUCUUUCUGGACCCUACACCCUUUGUGGACGAGCUGAAACUAAUCCAUGUCCCAGAGGACCUGUCAACUCAAUUUGACAGGCUCCCCAAGGAGGAAAUGAUUGUCAGCCGUUUCUCCCGUUUCCCCCCAAAGGAGGUCGAAAUCCUACAUAUUGUCCAGCCAGAUCUGGAAACUCCUGGCGGAUCCGGAGCACAACACACGACGGAAUCACCACUCUGAUGCCUCGCCCUAAAUAUCCCCAGCACCAGCUUACAAAGCUAUCGAAAACGCCUAUCAGGAGAGGAAUGGAUGAUGUAGUGUAUAAAUAUAC